This 253-nucleotide ribosomal RNA is filed under the name uncultured bacterium. Its description in RNAcentral is "partial 16S ribosomal RNA". It matches the Rfam family "Bacterial small subunit ribosomal RNA", at positions 524 to 776 of the family's 1533-position model. The record is from RNAcentral.
UACAGAGGUCCCAAGCGUUGUUCGGAUUCACUGGGCGUAAAGGGUGCGUAGGUGGCGAGGUAAGUCGGAUGUGAAAGCUCGGAGCUCAACUCCGAAAUGGCAUUGGAAACUACCUUGCUCGAGGGUUGGAGGGGGGACUGGAAUGCUUGGUGUAGCAGUGAAAUGCGUAGAUAUCAAGCGGAACACCAGUGGCGAAGGCGAGUCCCUGGACAACUCCUGAUACUGAGGCACGAAAGCUAGGGGAGCAAACAGG